This 100-nucleotide small RNA is filed under the name Pan troglodytes (chimpanzee). RNAcentral describes it as "processed transcript". RNAcentral also lists the same sequence under 1 other name. The record is from RNAcentral. Lineage: Eukaryota; Metazoa; Chordata; Mammalia; Primates; Hominidae.
GAGGCACGGGACAGGUCCCAGAAUAUGGCCCACAGAAUAAAAACAACCUGCUCAGAGUAAAGGAAAGAUCAUCCACACUGAUGAGGAUCAGUGACUAAGG